AAAUAUGAAGCAAAAUUUUGCGCUUAAUUUCGACUUAAGAAUUUGGUUAUAACCCUUAUUUA
RNAcentral lists this transfer RNA (62 nucleotides) under Phloiophilus edwardsi. RNAcentral's name for it is "tRNA-Arg". The record is from RNAcentral. Lineage: Eukaryota; Metazoa; Arthropoda; Insecta; Coleoptera; Phloiophilidae.